GACGAACGCUGGCGGCGUGCUUAACACAUGCAAGUCGAACGGAGAGGCCCUGCUUUUGUGGGGUGCUCGAGUGGCGAACGGGUGAGUAACACGUGAGUAACCUGCCCUUGACUUUGGGAUAACUUCAGGAAACUGGGGCUAAUACCGGAUAGGAGCUCCUGCGGCAUGUUGGGGGUUGGAAAGUUUCGGCGGUUGGGGAUGGACUCGCGGCUUAUCAGCUUGUUGGUGGGGUAGUGGCUUACCAAGGCUUUGACGGGUAGCCGGCCUGAGAGGGUGACCGGCCACAUUGGGACUGAGAUACGGCCCAGACUCCUACGGGAGGCAGCAGUGGGGAAUAUUGCACAAUGGGCGGAAGCCUGAUGCAGCAACGCCGCGUGCGGGAUGACGGCCUUCGGGUUGUAAACCGCUUUCGCCUGUGACGAAGCGUGAGUGACGGUAAUGGGUAAAGAAGCACCGGCUAACUACGUG
This 468-nucleotide ribosomal RNA is filed under the name uncultured bacterium. RNAcentral describes it as "partial 16S ribosomal RNA". It matches the Rfam family "Bacterial small subunit ribosomal RNA", at positions 28 to 507 of the family's 1533-position model. The record is from RNAcentral.